This is a non-coding RNA of Arthromyces matolae, 120 nucleotides long. The record is from the annotation of a GenBank genome assembly. Lineage: Eukaryota; Fungi; Basidiomycota; Agaricomycetes; Agaricales; Lyophyllaceae.
GGUGAGAUGGCCGAGCGGUCUAAGGCGCCAGACUAAGGUGUUGUAGAAAGUUUCUCUGAUCUUCGCUACCCUCGGUAUCUGGUCUCUUCGGGGGCGGGAGUUCGAAUCUCCCUCUCAUCA